UGGGCUCAUUAUGCAUGUUAAAGGCCCAAGAUUAUCCUUCGACUUCGUCUUCUCCUUUCCUCUUCGUCAAAUCUCCGUUACUGAGUUCGUUUCACCUUCUUCUCUUUCUCCUUCGUUAUAAACCACUUUGUCUUAAGUUGCUUUCAUUCAAUCCCGAAAACCUCCUCUCAAGAAGUUGAAACUAUAGCGAUGAAACCAAAGGGCAAGUUCACUUGCUG
RNAcentral lists this long non-coding RNA (218 nucleotides) under Brassica napus (rape). RNAcentral's name for it is "long non-coding RNA (BNAP_LNC016582)". Lineage: Eukaryota; Viridiplantae; Streptophyta; Magnoliopsida; Brassicales; Brassicaceae. The record is from RNAcentral.